This is an RNA transcript of Hibiscus syriacus, 2874 nucleotides long. It is a transcript of the gene named copper methylamine oxidase-like, with no coding region annotated. Lineage: Eukaryota; Viridiplantae; Streptophyta; Magnoliopsida; Malvales; Malvaceae. The record is from RefSeq and is a predicted model, not a curated record. The transcript has 13 exons.
AUCUCUCCUUUUAUUGAACCAAUCCUUAACUUGAAACCCAUCUUUAUAUUCCCCCGUUUCUUGUUGCUCGGGAAAAACCAAGGAAGCUUUCGAGUUUUGGAGUGAAACACUGAGAAUCAGCACAGAAACAUAGUAUUUGCUGUAUGUCAGUAGACAGCUGCAGUGUCAAAUACUACGGUGGAUACUGUGAGGUUGCUAACCCAUUGCAAUGGCCUCAACUCAGGAAAAAGCGACGCCUUGUUGUGUUCCCAAAACCAGCAACAACAACAACAACAACAACAACAAGAAGAUGUUGUCUUCUUCUACUGAGGUUUUGGAUAACUGGAGUCUUGCUGUCGGUUCUGGGGCUGGUCCGGCUGAGGAUUCCAACCCCAAGACAGCUUCCAUGGCUGCCAUGAUCCGCCCUGCUGAGACCAUCGAGGAUCCUCCUGCUACUAAGACCACCACCAGCAAAGGAAUUUCAAUCAUGACAAGGGCUCAGACCAGCCAUCCUUUGGAUCCAUUGUCGGCUGCUGAAAUCUCGGUGGCUGUGGCUACUGUAAGGGCGGCCGGAGCAACCCCUGAGGUGAGGGAUAGCAUGCGUUUUAUUGAAGUAGUUUUGGUGGAACCGGAUAAGCAUGUUGUUGCAUUGGCGGAUGCAUAUUUCUUCCCUCCUUUCCAGCCUUCAUUGCUCCCUAGGACGAAGCGGGGACCCGUGAUUCCGAGUAAACUCCCUCCGCGGAGGGCGAGGCUCGUGGUUUACAACAAAAGGUCCAACGAGACGAGCAUAUGGAUCGUUCAAUUGUCGGAAGUUCACGCUGCAACUCGAGGAGGACACCACAGGGGCAAAGUUAUUUCGUCUAAUGUUGUUCCGGAUGUCCAGCCUCCCAUGGAUGCUAUGGAAUAUGCUGAAUGUGAGGCUGUUGUUAAGGACUUCCCUCCGUUUCAAGAGGCAAUGAAGAAGAGGGGCAUUGAGGAUAUGGAUCUUGUGAUGGUUGAUCCCUGGUGUGUAGGAUAUUAUAGCAAAGCCGAUGCCCCUAGCCGGAGACUUGCUAAACCACUUAUCUUCUGCAGAACCGAGAGUGACUGCCCCAUGGAAAAUGGUUACGCUCGUCCGGUCGAGGGGAUCCAUGUCCUUGUUGACAUGCAAAAUAUGGUGGUGAUUGAAUUCAAAGACCGAAAAUUUGUUCCCCUUCCACCAGCUGACCCUUUAAGAAACUACACUGCUGGUGAAACACGGGGCGGUGUCGAUCGGAGUGAUGUGAAACCACUGCAGAUUAUUCAACCUGAAGGUCCCAGUUUUCGUAUUAAUGGGAAUUUCAUUGCAUGGCAGAAGUGGAAUUUCCGAAUUGGUUUCACUCCUAGGGAGGGUCUGGUAAUCCAUUCCGUGGCUUACAUCGAUGGUAGUCGUGGUCGGAGGCCUGUGGCUCAUCGAUUAAGUUUUGUUGAAAUGGUUGUUCCUUAUGGAGAUCCAAAUGAUCCACAUUAUAGGAAGAAUGCAUUUGAUGCAGGAGAAGAUGGGCUGGGGAAAAAUGCACAUUCUCUUAAGAAGGGCUGUGAUUGUUUGGGAUAUAUCAAGUACUUUGAUGCUCAUUUUACGAAUUUCACCGGAGGUGUUGAAACAAUCGAGAAUUGUGUCUGUUUGCAUGAAGAGGAUCAUGGUAUCUUAUGGAAGCAUCAAGAUUGGAGGACAGGGUUAUCAGAAGUCCGCCGGUCAAGAAGGCUGACGGUAUCGUUCGUAUGCACCGUGGCUAAUUACGAAUACGGAUUUUUCUGGCAUUUCUACCAGGACGGUAAAAUCGAAGCCGAGGUUAAACUCACUGGAAUUCUUAGUUUAGGAGCUUUGCAGCCUGGUGAAACACGGAAAUACGGCACAACCAUCGCUCCCGGGUUAUAUGCACCUGUCCAUCAACACUUUUUCGUGGCUCGCAUGGACAUGGCAGUCGACUGUAAACCCGGUGAAGCGUUUAAUCAAGUUGUUGAGGUGAAUCUUAAAGUUGAAGAACCAGGGAAGGAAAAUGUUCAUAAUAAUGCAUUCUAUGCUGAAGAAGAACUACUUAGGUCCGAACUGCAAGCAAUGCGUGACUGUAAUCCAUUGACUGCACGCCACUGGAUCAUUAGGAACACGAGAAACGUCAACAGGACUGGGCAGCUAACAGGAUUCAAACUGGUACCUGGUUCGAAUUGUCUGCCACUGGCUGGCUCUGAGGCAAAAAUCCUUCGAAGAGCUGCUUUCUUGAAACAUAAUCUUUGGGUCACACCCUAUGCUCCCGAAGAAAUGUACCCGGGAGGAGAGUUCCCCAAUCAAAAUCCGCGUGUUAAUGAAGGAUUGGCUACUUGGGUUAAGCAGAAUCGUUCUUUGGAAGAAGCCGAUAUAGUUCUGUGGUUAGUUUCCGACACGAACUUCCUCCAAGGACUUCAUAGACAUCUUUGGUAUGUAUCACCUACGUUGUUUACCUUCUGUAUUAGGUAUGUCUUUGGAAUAACGCAUGUUCCCCGGCUGGAAGACUGGCCUGUCAUGCCUGUGGAGCACAUCGGCUUUAUGCUUAUGCCACAUGGCUUCUUUAAUUGCUCACCGGCGAUCGAUGUUCCUCCGAGUGCAACCGAUCUGGAGCUCAAGGACAAUGACAUUGCGACAAAGCCUAUCCAAAACGGGAUGAUCGCGAAGCUUUGAAUUAAUCUCUGCAGUCUGCAAAAUAUUCGCCAAACAUCAAAUGUUUGAGCCAUUGGCCUAAAAUUAUUAAGUAUGAAUGUUUGUAUUUAUUUGUUUGCCCCCAUAUGAACUGCCCUUGAAGUUUUGUAAUAUAUUGAAACUCUUGUGUGAUCAUUAUGUAAUAUAUUUAACUCUAAAUAAUUGAAUCAAUAAAUAAUUGCGAUUUUUCGUUCUCGUUGCCA